Long non-coding RNA from Cydia fagiglandana, 2423 nucleotides. RefSeq lists it as uncharacterized. The transcript has 3 exons. NCBI's taxonomy places the organism in Eukaryota, Metazoa, Arthropoda, Insecta, Lepidoptera, Tortricidae. The record is from RefSeq and is a predicted model, not a curated record.
AGUUCAAUAUAAAGUCAUACUUAUGCAAAGAUUCGUUUAUUUCAUCUCUUAAUACUCCAUUUCUCAGAAAUGAGUACACCAGCUACCGUUAUUAUAGUUUCCAUUCAAUCUUAGAGUAUUUCGAUAAGCUUAAUACAAAACUUUCGUUUCGCGGGGAUAUUUCGAGAUGCGAGAAUUAUAAGUUUUGAGCACUGUAGGCCAAGCACAUGAUUGGCGCGACAGUAUCUCGCGAGAUAGACUACCCGUCUUUUUCUAACUGUAUUAAUUAAAGAGGGACGGGUAGUUUAUCUGGCCGCGAGAUACUGUCGCGCUAAUCAUGUGCUAGCCCGGCUGAUUGGCGUUUUGGUUGCCACUGCGCUGGAUAUCAAAUUGAAAUGGUUAAUACAGGAUGUAAAAAAAAAUGUGGGGAUCCGUUUAAGCAUAUGUUUUUGACGGGGAAAUAUUUUUUUUCUACUUUUUCCUAAGCAAACACAAUACCGAAUAAGCCCUAUUUUUUUACAUCCUGUAGCGCUCAGAUGAGCUCAGAUAACCUCAAGGUAUCUAAAAAUUUCUUACUAGAAAUAACAACUUGUGACACAUAUUUACAAAUUAUUGCAAUGUUAAAAUAAAAUUGGUACUCCAAACUUAUCAUUUUCGAUCUAAAUAGCCCCGCAAGACGAUAUUCAAAUUCAGUAAAACCCGCUUAAGACGAUGUAUAAACCGCGAAAACAGAAUUAAGCUGCAGUCUUGUGAAAAAAAGCGCUAUUACGCGGGCAAUCGUAUUAAGCGGGUUGAACUGUUUGGAUGGUAUUCCAUCUGUGCAAUUUCUUUGUCCAAUGUGGAUUGCAUCUCACUCUCUCAUUAAGCAAAAUGUGAGACGCAAAAACAAGGAUGAAGAUAUUGGACAGAUGGAAUACCAUCCUCAGGGCCACUUGCAUCAUUCACUAACCCGGGGUUAUCCGGUUAAACCUGGAUUACUAUGGUUACCAGUACAAUUUGACACUGGCUUAAUGGUUUAACCGCUAAACCCCGGGUUAGUUGGAUGGUGCAAGUGGGCCUAAGACUCGCAAGUCCCAAUGGCCAGCCAUGAAUCAAAGACAAAUGCUACAAUUUAGGACUUACACAUUCCAAUCGUGAGAUCACAUCAUAUAACUUCAUUCAGUUUCAUUCAUAGACAGAGAGAAUCAUACCAUACCUGUCUUUGUCUUACGCUAGUAUACUAGCACCCAUAAGAAAGGGAUGAGUAUAAUUUUCCUGGUUCUUACUGCAGACUAUAACCCUGGCCGCAGACGUUCGGAAUUAUGCGUACGAAUGACAAAUGGAAGCGAGACAUCGCUAUGCAUUUGUAGAGCGACGUCCCGUUCCCAGCUGUCAUUCCGUACGGAAUGAAAGUUCCGAACGUCUACAACCAGGGUUAUAAUCUGCAGUAAGAACCACGAAAAUUAUACUCAUCCCUUUCUUGUGUGUGCUAUAGUACUAGCGUAAGACAAAGACAGUACCUAGCUAUGAUUCUCUCUAUGUUUAUCCUUGGCGGAAUGACCGAGUUAUGUGUUUUAGUUUUGGUUAUAUCUUUCUGCUUCUAUUUUACCUGAAUGAAGUUCUCGGUAGACAUGACUUUAAAAAUGGACGUACAUUAUCGCGGAUGUCGCCGAUAUAGUUAGCUUAUUAGGGUGCAAAUACACUGAGUAGGAGCCAUAAGGGGUUAUUCCAAACCAAUUUAUUUAUUGCAUGUUCCUUAUACUUUAUAGGUGAUAUAAUUUAUAUGUACGAGAUUGCACUCAUUGCUAUAACUUUUACUAUAUGUAGAAGCAUACUUUGAAAUCACGGCAAAAAUGCUGGUCUUCAUACAAAUAUCGAACUGAACUUUAGUAUGGGACAUGGGCAAUUAAAUAGUGACUCGCGUUUUUUUCUAGCCGCUCUGAUGCGGUCACCGAAUCAAAGUAUGGGGUUGCCAGGCAACCAAAUCUUUUUGAUGCGGCGAAUGAGAAUCGACGCAGUGUAUUUGCGCCAUUAGCUUACAACGUAACACUAACAGCUUUGAAAUGCAUAACUAUAAUAUCACCGUGACAUCACAAGGACAACAACACAGCGUAAAUAUUAUUAGCGUAAAUAUUUUCGCUUGACACAGUUUGUAAACCUUAUACAUAUUAACUUCGCAAGUGUAUACUGUAUGUAUAUGAUUCAUAAUUGUUACAUAUUUGGCGUGACUUAUUUUUCAAAAGUGUUUUUCAAUAAGACACGUCAAGAUUACGAGGUUAAUACGAAAAGGAUUAUAAUUGACAUAACUUGUCCCUAGACCCGACAUUAUAAUUCUAAUCUUGUUUUUUUUUUAAACUAUAUUUUUUACAUUUUGUAAUAUUUACGCUGUGACAACAUAACAUCACAGAUAAAUAUUAGACAUAUUUUUGGCUCCAAUCUUUGAGCAAUCUCAGUCAAAACACACU